GUGCUUGCUUCGGCAGCACAUAUAUACAAUUGUGACCGAUACAGAGAAGAUUAGCAUGGUCCUUGUGCAAGGAUAACAUGCAAACUCAUGAAGGGUUCCAUAUUAAA
Molossus molossus (Pallas's mastiff bat) is the source of this 107-nucleotide small nuclear RNA. The record is from RefSeq and is a predicted model, not a curated record. Lineage: Eukaryota; Metazoa; Chordata; Mammalia; Chiroptera; Molossidae.